GUGCUCGCUUCGGCAGCACAUGUACUAAAAUUGCAACAAUGCAGAGAAGAUGAGCAUGGCCCCCGGGCAAGGAUAACAAGCAAACUUGUGAAGCAUUCCCAUAUUUU
Molecule: small nuclear RNA, 107 nt
Organism: Hippopotamus amphibius kiboko
Lineage: Eukaryota; Metazoa; Chordata; Mammalia; Artiodactyla; Hippopotamidae
Source: RefSeq, a predicted model, not a curated record